RNAcentral lists this ribosomal RNA (777 nucleotides) under uncultured Neocallimastigales. Its description in RNAcentral is "partial large subunit ribosomal RNA". It matches the Rfam family "Eukaryotic large subunit ribosomal RNA", at positions 24 to 644 of the family's 3401-position model. Lineage: Eukaryota; Fungi; Neocallimastigomycota; Neocallimastigomycetes; Neocallimastigales. The record is from RNAcentral.
UUAUCUCUGUAGAGUCUGCAUAUCAAUAAGCGGAGGAAAAGAAACUAACAAGGAUUCCCUUAGUAACGGCGAGUGAAGCGGGAAGAGCUCAAAUUUGAAAUCUUCAAGGUUUUACCUUGACGAAUUGUAGUUUAAAGAAGUGUAUUCUGUUGAAGUUUCGGUAAAAGUUCUUUGGAAUAGGACAUCAUAGAGGGUGAGAAUCCCGUAUUUGACCAUUUCUUCCAGCUGUGUGAUACACUUUCAAAGAGUCGGAUUGUUUGGGAAUGCAGUCCAAAAUGGGUGGUAAAUUUCAUCUAAAGCUAAAUAUUGGCGAGAGACCGAUAGCGAACAAGUACCGUGAGGGAAAGAUGAAAAGAACUUUGAAAAGAGAGUUAAACAGUACGUGAAAUUGUCAAAAGGGAAGCGUUUGACACCAGUGUUGUUUUCUCGAAAAUCAAUUAAAAAUGGUGGGAUUUUGUGUUGUAUUGACUUUAUCAGCUUUCUGCACUUUUUUCCUAUCUUUUUUAAUGCACUUUUCGUUUAACAAGUCAACAUCAAUUUCUUUUGUUGUAAAAGAGUCAUUGGAAGGUGGCUUUCACUUCGGUGAAAGUGUUUAUAGCCUUUGACUUCUGCAAUCGGAGAGAUUGAGGUCUGCAGCGUAGAUCCUUCGGGGCUAGAUACAUAGAUGCUAAGUUAUAGUUUUUUAUAGACAACAUUGUUGACUAUGAUUAAUCAUGUAGCUUACUCGCUUAUGCCUAUUUUACCUACGCUUAGGAUGUUGAAUCUGUGCGAGACUAC